UCAGGAAGCUGCAAGGCCAUGUUCCUAUCAACACCAGAAAUUGGAGGGCCAUUUACAAGCACACAAAGGCAAGGUUGGCCAAGAGAUUUCACAGCAUUACAGCAAGCUUCACUUGGUGGAAUUGGGCUAAAAGGAGCAACUGCUGCCCUGCAAGAUGCAACUUCCUCAGAUUCACGCUAAAUAUGGUUCUUCUCGGGCGGUAAGUAACAGCAGCUGCUCAUAGAUCUGAUGUGCGCUUUCUUCUCUCUCUCUCUCUGGCUUUCAUCAUCUAAGGAUCUCAUGCUAUUGACUCAAACAGUAAGGUCUAUAAUUAAUUGUAGAAGCUUCACUUGUCUUUUGGUAAUGUCUAGUUUUCAUCGCUCAUCCCUAUUCUGACGUUACAUAUGUAUUUUCGCUGAUAACUCUGAUCUCCAUAGAUCCUGAAAAAGCUUGGUAGCUGUGUUGAUGAACUAUAAUCUUCCCUGCUCUUCAGUUUGUUUUGUAUGGCCUUGGACUAAUGUUGUUGAAGAUUCCUCUUUUGAUUAGUAUUUUUGUCGACUAAUAGAAUUUUUGCAAAAUUGGUGAACAUUAUUU
Manihot esculenta (cassava) is the source of this 573-nucleotide long non-coding RNA. RefSeq lists it as uncharacterized. The record is from RefSeq and is a predicted model, not a curated record. The transcript is spliced from 2 exons. NCBI's taxonomy places the organism in Eukaryota, Viridiplantae, Streptophyta, Magnoliopsida, Malpighiales, Euphorbiaceae.